UGAGGAAUAUUGGUCAAUGGACGGAAGUCUGAACCAGCCAAGCAUCGUGCAGGAAGACGUCCCUAUGGGUUGUAAACUGCUUUUAUACGGGGAUAAAGUUAGGGACGUGUCCCUAUUUGCAGGUACCGUAUGAAUAAGGACCGGCUAAUCCCGUGCCAGCAGCCGCGGUAAUACGGCAGGUCCGGGCGUUAUCCGGACUUAUUGGGUUUAAAGGGAGCGUAGGACGUAGAUUAAGUGUGUUGUGAAAUGUAGUCGCUCAUCGUCUGACUUGCAGCGCAUACUGGUUUACGUGAGUUUGCACGACGUUGGUGGUAUUAGUCCUGUAGCGGUGAGAUGAUUCGUUAUGACGAAGAACUCCGAUUGCGGCGGCAGCUUGCGGGAGCAAAACUGACGCUGCAGCUCGAAAGAACGGGUAUCGAACAAG
This 424-nucleotide ribosomal RNA is filed under the name Verrucomicrobiota bacterium. Its description in RNAcentral is "Verrucomicrobia bacterium partial 16S ribosomal RNA". It matches the Rfam family "Bacterial small subunit ribosomal RNA", at positions 355 to 776 of the family's 1533-position model. The record is from RNAcentral. Lineage: Bacteria; Pseudomonadati; Verrucomicrobiota.